Long non-coding RNA from Harpia harpyja (harpy eagle), 2249 nucleotides. RefSeq lists it as uncharacterized. Lineage: Eukaryota; Metazoa; Chordata; Aves; Accipitriformes; Accipitridae. The record is from RefSeq and is a predicted model, not a curated record. The transcript has 2 exons.
GAAAAGCACCGGGCAGGUUGUAAAAGGGCGGCAAAGGUGGCGUGCCACGGUGUGUCCGUGUCCCCCCUCAGUGGAGGGCAUCGUCCGCACGAGAGCCCACCGCCAGCUUGCGCAAGGGUGAGGCGGUGGGCGCCGUGGCUGGCCGAGUCGCCCGACGGCCGCCCCUGGGAAAGGGCAACGUGUCGCUCCGCGCCCCUCUAACGGCGGAACGCCGCAGCCCCGCCGCGGUGCGGGACCUUACGGACCUGGCCCUCCACCGUGUCUGCGGACCGGGACCGAAAGCCACCCGUAGAAGGUGAAAACUGGAAGGUGGUAACGUAUCGACAAAAUACAUAACUGCGAGACAGACAUAACUUUUUUUCCCACCAUGCACUUGGUAAAAAGUAACCCAACUAGACGAACUUGAAAGCAACAAGUUUGUACAAGCUACGAGAUAAGAGAAAAAUUAAACCUCUUUAUUGAUAAAAUGCACGGUGUUCGGGUAUACUAUGUCUAAAGGAAAGUUGCAUCAUCAACCAAAGAAAAUGUGAAUUAUGGCACAGACAGAUACAUAGCCAAAACGUUUAGGGUAGUAACUUUAAAAAAAAAAACAAAACAAACCCCAAACCAACAAAAAACUCCAUACUGCACUGCAUAUACAAACUUGAAGCAGCAGCAAAAGUAGGGAAGUGAGGAGGCUAAUACCAGUUCUGUAAUACACAAAGUAGCAUGGCCUCUCAACAAAGAAGAGGUGAAUCAAUAAAUCCAUGAAGAGCAAAAUUAUCACUACACAUAUAUUACUUACUAUAAAAGAAGAGGAAUGCAUUGAGACUAGGUGAAGAAACAAGCUGAUGUUUACCGAAAUAAGCACAAACAGCAUACAGGGCAUGCAGGAAAAAGAAAGUGGUAAUGGGGUGAAAUACAUGAAAUAUUUAUCAUAUUCAGCAAUGCACAAAAUAGAUUAUAAUCUCAGAAGCAAAGAAAUGUAAGGCUCAAAAAUGAAUACACUGUUACAUAAUACUGUUAUUCAAAACGGAGCAAGUGGAGGUGGCGUACAGAGGAAACAUGAAAAGUUGUACCUAUGUUGCGUGUCCUGAAAAAGGUUACUAAGAUUGUUACCAAGAGCGCUGAAAAGGAAAAAAACCCAACCAAAACCCAAGAAACAUGUUUCACAAAGAAAAACAAGGGAAAAUGAAAGCCUGCUACAGUAAACUUCAGCAGUGAGCAAGACUGACUAAAGAAGAAAAUUGUGAAGGAUGAGAGAGUUUCAGCUGGCAGUAUGCUUCCUGCAGUAUGAUGGAAGAAAAGGACACUGAAGAUAAUUUGAGAGAUGCAGAGCUGAUUAGAAUAGAGCAGAUAUUUAGAAAUAUGAUUUGGAACAAGAUUUGGGACUAAAACAUCACCUUAUAAAAAUGAUUGCCAGAUAUGACAAUAACAAAAAAAACCCCAAACCAACCCCCCAAAAACAACAACAACAACAAAAGAUUAAAAUCUGUUCUAAAAUAACUUUUGCUUUGGUGUUCGCAAACUGUUCCCUUCAUGGUCAAAAAAACCUUAAAAUGUUCAGAUAGAAACAAAGUGAUUACUCCAAAAAGCAGAAACAGUGAAUUAAAGGAGCAGGGAGAUAACAAUCUGAUAAUACAGGAGCACAGAAGGCCUAAUAAUGAUAUUAUUAUGCACACUAACCAAAAACUGACAAACAAAUAUUCUGUUAAUUAUAUAAUCAUGCAUAUGCUUCCUAUGCUUGAGGUAAAUGAUUAUGGAAAAUAACUCUCUUCUUGAAACUGCAUAUAUGUAGUAAACCUUAUAAACUCCCUACAACAUGGAUUAAUCUAAUUCCCAUACGUCACUUAUGCCCGGUAAAGUAUUUACUACAGACUUGGAAGGCUGAGCAUGGAACCCUUGCUUUGACUAGAAAGCACGAAUUACUGAAGGCUGCUACAUCUUGACAUAUAGACGACAAUCAGAUAUCUCUUAUCAAUACCAAACUACUUGGAAUAAAUUCAAGAUACAGAUAUCUGAUUUUCAUUUGACCUAUUCCAAUUUGCACUUCACUAUGUCAACUUUGAUAUUAAAAUGUUCCACUAGAAUAAAGAUAUUUAUAAUGAAAACAUGUAUAAAGAACAGAAGAUGAAUAGAUAUUGUCAUGGAUACAUAUGCAGGCAAUCAUUUAAACAUGCGGCAAUAGUAACAUCACAUUUUUCAUAGUUUCUAGUUGAACAUACAGCAGACAAAUAUAUGCUUAAUAAAGCUUAUUAAUCCUUAAUAAA